Cercocebus atys (sooty mangabey) is the source of this 437-nucleotide long non-coding RNA. RefSeq lists it as uncharacterized. The transcript is spliced from 3 exons. The record is from RefSeq and is a predicted model, not a curated record. NCBI's taxonomy places the organism in Eukaryota, Metazoa, Chordata, Mammalia, Primates, Cercopithecidae.
UCGCAAGGCCUUGCUGGGCCUCGGCUUCCUGGCUGGCUCUGAUUGGAUGAGAUUUGUCCGGGAGAGACUGGCUCUGCGAGCCCUCAAAAGCGCGUGCGUAUAUUUUGGACCGCGAUGACUAAGAUGUCAGUGGUGGCCAAAGGGGGCGCCGGGAAGCUGAAGAAAAAAAGAAGCAGAAUGUUGGAUUAAAGGAGGCAGGAUGGGCCAAAUACUCCUACACGGUCCACGCAAAGAGGGGUUGGACGAGCUCGGGGAAGGUUAUCAAUUUACUUCUAAGAAUUCCCCAAAAGGAACAAAUGGAAAAUACAAUUUCAUCUGCUUCAUUUGCAAUGUCACAAAUAUGGAUCAUUUUCAUAAAAUUCAUCCCAUACUCCUGGGAUGAAAGAGUUGAUGAGGUCUCUGAGGUAUCGCCACACCGUCUUCCACAAUGGUUGAAG